This is a long non-coding RNA of Marmota monax (woodchuck), 777 nucleotides long. RefSeq lists it as uncharacterized. The record is from RefSeq and is a predicted model, not a curated record. The transcript has 2 exons. Lineage: Eukaryota; Metazoa; Chordata; Mammalia; Rodentia; Sciuridae.
CCCGCCCAUCGAGGGCGAAGGCAUUUAGGAAGAAGAGAAAGGGCGGGGAGAAGACUGAGGAUUGAGUGCAAAGAGACGUUGAAGAGGACAGAGGAAUAGCUGACCCUGGAGCCCUGGCGCUCAAGAACCUCACCAGAAAGGGACUCCUAGUCUGAUCCCACCCCGGUCCCGGACAGGCAGCCAAGUCGAGGCCUUGCGGACACCGCUGGGGAGCCGCAGAGUGUGAAGUUUAGCACCUCCGCCGGCUGGCGAGACAGUGCGUUCCAGCGUGCAGUUCCAGCGGCCAGUUGGGGGAGCUGCUGCGCCCUCACGGCCUCCGGAGGGCGCCGCCGGCGGGUCCGCGAGCUCCGUGGGGUCGGGAUGUGGACCUGGCAGGAGAGGACGUCCCUAGUUGGAGGGUCAGGAGUGCUCCUGGCCUGGGGUGUGUCCGGGUCGUUCCCGCACCCCCCCCCCCGCCCCCCGGGCUUCUGAAGGACAGUGAGCAGGAAGUUUGCGCAAUCCCUUGGCUGAGUGUCCCCGAGAAAGAAAAAGAGCAAAAGUUGCCCGAGAGUGGAGCGAGCAGCCGGGUGGGGGGCGGAGGCAGCCAAAGAGCCAUCGGGUCUCCACUCCAGCCUUGACACACGUCCCAGAAUGCCGGGUGGGGACUGCAUCACUGCAGCCAGGGAAGAACGAAAUGUAGAAGGGAACCCCCAAAGCCUGCCGGGGCUCGUGUUCUCCCAGAAAUCCACGAGGAACCUGCAGGGGGUCUGGUGUUAAACACGCAUGUUGAUUCCACCA